Molecule: ribosomal RNA, 495 nt
Filed under: uncultured bacterium
Lineage: Bacteria
Description: partial 16S ribosomal RNA
Rfam family: Bacterial small subunit ribosomal RNA
Source: RNAcentral
GACGAACGCUGGCGGCGUGCCUAAUACAUGCAAGUAGAACGCUGAAGGAGGAGCUUGCUUCUCUGGAUGAGUUGCGAACGGGUGAGUAACGCGUAGGUAACCUGCCUGGUAGCGGGGGAUAACUAUUGGAAACGAUAGCUAAUACCGCAUAAGAGUAGAUGUUGCAUGACAUUUGCUUAAAAGGUGCAAUUGCAUCACUACCAGAUGGACCUGCGUUGUAUUAGCUAGUUGGUGAGGUAACGGCUCACCAAGGCAACGAUACAUAGCCGACCGGAGAGGGGAAUCGGCCACGCUGGGACUGAGACAUGGCCCACACACCUACGGGAGGCAGCAGGAGGGAAUCCUCGGCAAUGGACGGAAGUCUGACCGAGCAACGCCGCGUGAGUGAAGAAGGUUUUCGGAUCGUAAAGCUCUGUUGUAAGAGAAGAACGAGUGGGAGAGUUGAAAGUUCACACUGUGACGGUAUCUUACCAGAAAGGGACGGCUAACUACGUG